Molecule: long non-coding RNA, 537 nt
Organism: Trichomycterus rosablanca
Lineage: Eukaryota; Metazoa; Chordata; Actinopteri; Siluriformes; Trichomycteridae
Exons: 2
Source: RefSeq, a predicted model, not a curated record
UGUGUGUCUGCUUCAUCAUUCAUCAUUCAUCUAUCAACUUCUGUUGGGAAUGAUGUUCCUCCUUCUGUUAAACAACUAAAACAGAAGUACAAACCGUGUCUGAGGACGGGAGCAUAGUGGAACAGACGCCGGUACAAACCCUGGGUCAGAGGCCCCACGGAGCGUACACCUUAUUUGAGCUCAGUUUUGAGUUCAGUAAUGAAAACAACAGACCACAGUACUGGACUCGUACUGAAAUUACAGCUGGUCUCAUGAUCACAUUUGAUCCGUUUGUACGACUCUUCAAGUUUGUAGGCCGGGCAGGACCAGCUUUAGUUAGCCUGGGUCACAACAUCCACAACGCACUGACCGGUACCAGUGAUACACUGGCUGUUACCGAUAACGUCACCGGUCAGUGAAACAAAAGAAAUUCAGUUCAAAAGAAAUGUGUGUUCAAGUCCUUGCUCAGGGGCCAAAAUGUGGCAACUUUGCAGCAACGGGGCUUGAACCAACAACCUUCUGAUUACUAAUCCUUAAAUAAAAUUGACUAAAGCUUAA